UGGCCAUUUUGGGUUGCAAGUAAAAGUGAUGAACAGAUCAGGGUACCCCGCCCAUUUGCAAAUUGCCAUGGCAUCUUGAUAAUUCUGUAUCAUGUAAUGUGCGCCUCCCCGUAAAGCUGGAAGAGAGUAUAACUCUUUGUUCUUGAGAAUAAGGUUCUAUAUCCCCAUGUAAAACAGCAUCUUCUAACCCUUUAUAAAAAUGUGCUCUCAAUUAUUUUUGAUGAAGCCUAAUAAACCUUAA
RNAcentral lists this long non-coding RNA (241 nucleotides) under Nicotiana benthamiana. Its description in RNAcentral is "long non-coding RNA (NBEN_LNC021803)". Lineage: Eukaryota; Viridiplantae; Streptophyta; Magnoliopsida; Solanales; Solanaceae. The record is from RNAcentral.